RNAcentral lists this ribosomal RNA (251 nucleotides) under uncultured bacterium. RNAcentral's name for it is "partial 16S ribosomal RNA". It matches the Rfam family "Bacterial small subunit ribosomal RNA", at positions 525 to 775 of the family's 1533-position model. The record is from RNAcentral.
ACGUAGGGUGCAAGCGUUGUCCGGAAUUACUGGGUGUAAAGGGAGCGCAGGCGGAUUGGCAAGUUGGGAGUGAAAUCUAUGGGCUCAACCCAUAAAUUGCUUUCAAAACUGUCAGUCUUGAGUGGUGUAGAGGUAGGCGGAAUUCCCGGUGUAGCGGUGGAAUGCGUAGAUAUCGGGAGGAACACCAGUGGCGAAGGCGGCCUACUGGGCACUAACUGACGCUGAGGCUCGAAAGCAUGGGUAGCAAACAG